UGGGGAAUAUUGGACAAUGGGCGAAAGCCUGAUCCAGCCAUGCCGCGUGUGUGAAGAAGGUCUUCGGAUUGUAAAGCACUUUAAGUUGGGAGGAAGGGCAGUAAGCGAAUACCUUGCUGUUUUGACGUUACCGACAGAAUAAGCACCGGCUAACUCUGUGCCAGCAGCCGCGGUAAUACAGAGGGUGCAAGCGUUAAUCGGAAUUACUGGGCGUAAAGCGCGCGUAGGUGGUUCGUUAAGUUGAAUGUGAAAGCCCCGGGCUCAACCUGGGAACUGCAUCCAAAACUGGCGAGCUAGAGUAGGGCAGAGGGUGGUGGAAUUUCCUGUGUAGCGGUGAAAUGCGUAGAUAUAGGAAGGAACACCAGUGGCGAAGGCGACCACCUGGGCUCAUACUGAAACUGAGGUGCGAAAGCGUGGGGAGCAAACAGG
This 429-nucleotide ribosomal RNA is filed under the name Pseudomonadota bacterium. Its description in RNAcentral is "Proteobacteria bacterium partial 16S ribosomal RNA". It matches the Rfam family "Bacterial small subunit ribosomal RNA", at positions 355 to 776 of the family's 1533-position model. The record is from RNAcentral. Lineage: Bacteria; Pseudomonadati; Pseudomonadota.